CCAGGAAAAAUAAGUAGGGAGAGAGGAAGGAAUUCAUCUUUGAAAACUGGUCUACCUGGAACUUGCUGUAGCUCCAAGAACAGCCAAAAUCAACAUCCCUAAAUCCCCCAAAGCUGCAGAAUAUUACAGUAGCUUUAUAGCUGGGUUGCUUCCUCCUCCACUUCUGGUUAAGGACAAGGAGAAGCCUUUGGAAACAAAAGGAGCUGCUGCUCAUGUGACUGCUCAGAUCACUGUUCCAACCAGGAGAAGUUUGAGCCUGUAAAAUGUUACUGGUCCACUACUGCCUUUUUCACCCCAUGAGUGAAGAAAUUGCUUCUGAUGACACCGAAUGACAUUUGACUCCUUACACUGACAGAUAAAACAAUUCUUCCCUCAUUGCUACCACUGCAAGAGAAAGGUCCAGAAAUGACUCUUGAAAGGUAGAAGUCCUAAGAGGACAGAUAUCUUGGAAAGGCAAUUUAUUUUUCCCUCUCCUUUGAGAAGUGCCAGACAACUCCCGAUUCCCUUUUCCUAUUGUGACGUCAGAACGCUGGAAAUCCCGAAGCUUUCAAACGGAAUGUAAAAUCAUUAUUAACUAUCUAAUUAAGCAGUUCCACCUUUGCUUUGCCACUUGGUCAUGUUUUUAACUUAUUUUGUGAAUGGGACAAUUUUGUGCAGCACUUUGGCACGCUGUACAGGAGCCUGGAGGAGAGGAACAGCUCUGACACAACAGACACAGAUAUCUGUCCUGUCACUGGAACAGAGAGAUGGAAGAGGCCUCACAUCAAGGAAUUAUGUUGCUGUGGCCUUUUAAAGUCCAAGCAAUCAAUCAACACCAGUUUCAGCUUCAUUAUUUUGCUGGCAGCAAGGAGCUAUGAUUUAUUUUUUUUUUAUGGAAAAAAGAAUUUCUAUUUCCUGCAAAAUUCUAAAAUGUUGAAAAACUAAUUAUGAAGAAUAAAUCUCAGGGAUUUUGACACUUUUACCAAAUGAAUGCUAUAAAUGUUUUGGAUUUUCCUGAUGCUUAAUUCUGAUGGGGCUGAACCAGCUUGUUGACUUGUUGCCUGAAUUUCAUUUCAACUUUUAUGUUGUAUUAGAAGACUGAAUAUACACAAAUUUUUAA
Myiozetetes cayanensis is the source of this 1099-nucleotide long non-coding RNA. RefSeq lists it as uncharacterized. NCBI's taxonomy places the organism in Eukaryota, Metazoa, Chordata, Aves, Passeriformes, Tyrannidae. The transcript has 3 exons. The record is from RefSeq and is a predicted model, not a curated record.